CGAACGGGUGAGUAACGCGUGAGGAACCUGCCUCAAAGAGGGGGACAACAGUUGGAAACGACUGCUAAUACCGCAUAAGCCCACGGCUCGGCAUCGAGCAGAGGGAAAAGGAGUGAUCCGCUUUGAGAUGGUCUCGCGUCCGAUUAGCUAGUUGGUGAGGUAAUGGCCCACCAAGGCGACGAUCGGUAGCCGGACUGAGAGGUUGAACGGCCACAUUGGGACUGAGACACGGCCCAGACUCCUACGGGAGGCAGCAUG
RNAcentral lists this ribosomal RNA (258 nucleotides) under uncultured bacterium. Its description in RNAcentral is "partial 16S ribosomal RNA". It matches the Rfam family "Bacterial small subunit ribosomal RNA", at positions 99 to 353 of the family's 1533-position model. The record is from RNAcentral.